Molecule: non-coding RNA, 67 nt
Filed under: Deltaproteobacteria bacterium
Lineage: Bacteria; Pseudomonadati; Myxococcota; Myxococcia
Description: Fluoride sequence
Rfam family: Fluoride riboswitch aptamer (crcB RNA motif)
Source: RNAcentral
AUACAUGACGGCGAUGGAGUUCGCCUUUAAACGCCUUGCCCGCAAGGCUGAUGACUCCUACUCUUGA